Podarcis lilfordi (Lilford's wall lizard) is the source of this 74-nucleotide non-coding RNA. Lineage: Eukaryota; Metazoa; Chordata; Lepidosauria; Squamata; Lacertidae. The record is from the annotation of a GenBank genome assembly.
GAAGAGCCAUACCUCAGUGGCAGGGCAUAAGCUUUGCGUGCAGAAGGCCCUGGGUUCAAACCCCAGCAUCUUCA